UCUCUCCUUUUAUUUCUCCUUCUUGUUGACUGCAAUGUGGUAUGCAAGGGGCAUGUUUCACCCCUGUUUGUGUUACAUCUCUUUUAGCCCUGCCAUUUGGUGCAUCCAAGUUCUUGUCCUGUGUCCAAGAAGGAUGAGGUACAAGGACAAGUUGAGGGUGAGCAAGAUGAAGAGGAGCUUUAUUGACCAAUAGAACAGGUCAGAGGAGUCUUGCAUCAGUAGCUCCUCUCCACAGCCAGGGUGCCCUGAUGAGUGUUCAGCUCUCAGCAGAGAAGAGACCCUGGAGUGGGUAGUUCCUCUCCACAGUUGGUUGUCCCAGUGUCUUCUCAACUCUCAGGAGAGAGAU
This is a long non-coding RNA of Sapajus apella (tufted capuchin), 346 nucleotides long. RefSeq lists it as uncharacterized. The record is from RefSeq and is a predicted model, not a curated record. The transcript is spliced from 3 exons. Lineage: Eukaryota; Metazoa; Chordata; Mammalia; Primates; Cebidae.